Molecule: small nuclear RNA, 108 nt
Organism: Nycticebus coucang (slow loris)
Lineage: Eukaryota; Metazoa; Chordata; Mammalia; Primates; Lorisidae
Source: RefSeq, a predicted model, not a curated record
AUGCUCGUUUUGGCAGCACUUGGACUAAAAGUGGAAUGAUACAGAGAAGCAGCAGCAUGGCUCCUGCGCAUGGGUAACAGACAAAUUCAUGAAGCAUUCCACAUUUAA